This 530-nucleotide ribosomal RNA is filed under the name Limosilactobacillus reuteri. Its description in RNAcentral is "bacterial SSU rRNA". It matches the Rfam family "Bacterial small subunit ribosomal RNA", at positions 1 to 498 of the family's 1533-position model. Lineage: Bacteria; Bacillati; Bacillota; Bacilli; Lactobacillales; Lactobacillaceae. The record is from RNAcentral.
UAGAGUUUGAUCCUGGCUCAGGAUGAACGCCGGCGGUGUGCCUAAUACAUGCAAGUCGUACGCACUGGCCCAACUGAUUGAUGGUGCUUGCACCUGAUUGACGAUGGAUCACCAGUGAGUGGCGGACGGGUGAGUAACACGUAGGUAACCUGCCCCGGAGCGGGGGAUAACAUUUGGAAACAGAUGCUAAUACCGCAUAACAACAAAAGCCACAUGGCUUUUGUUUGAAAGAUGGCUUUGGCUAUCACUCUGGGAUGGACCUGCGGUGCAUUAGCUAGUUGGUAAGGUAACGGCUUACCAAGGCGAUGAUGCAUAGCCGAGUUGAGAGACUGAUCGGCCACAAUGGAACUGAGACACGGUCCAUACUCCUACGGGAGGCAGCAGUAGGGAAUCUUCCACAAUGGGCGCAAGCCUGAUGGAGCAACACCGCGUGAGUGAAGAAGGGUUUCGGCUCGUAAAGCUCUGUUGUUGGAGAAGAACGUGCGUGAGAGUAACUGUUCACGCAGUGACGUAUCCACCAGAUGCCGACU